RNAcentral lists this ribosomal RNA (451 nucleotides) under uncultured bacterium. Its description in RNAcentral is "partial 16S ribosomal RNA". It matches the Rfam family "Bacterial small subunit ribosomal RNA", at positions 28 to 507 of the family's 1533-position model. The record is from RNAcentral.
GAUGAAUGCUGGCGGCGUGCCUAACACAUGCAAGUCGAGCGGCAGCGAGGGGUGCUUGCACCCUGUCGGCGAGCGGCGAGCGGCUGAGUAACGCGUAGGAAUUUGCCCCAAAGUGAGGAAUAACUGCCCGAAAGGGUAGCUAAUGCCGCAUAUGGUCUUCGGAUUAAAGGAUUUAUCCGCUUUGGGAGAAGCCUGCGUUGGAUUAGGUUGUUGGUAGGGUAAUGGCCUACCAAGCCGACGAUCCAUAGCUGGUCUGAGAGGAUGAUCAGCCAGACUGGAACUGAGACACGGUCCAGACUCCUACGGGAGGCAGCAGUGAGGAAUCUUCCACAAUGGGCGAAAGCCUGAUGGAGCAACGCCGCGUGAAGGAUGAAGGCCUUCGGGUUGUAAACUUCUUUUAUGAGUGAAGAAUAUGACGGUAACUCGUGAAUAAGCACCGGCUAACUACGUG